RNAcentral lists this non-coding RNA (805 nucleotides) under Periplaneta americana (American cockroach). Its description in RNAcentral is "small subunit ribosomal RNA". The stretch from base 380 to 787 matches the Rfam family "Microsporidia small subunit ribosomal RNA", at positions 752 to 1303 of the family's 1311-position model. The record is from RNAcentral. Lineage: Eukaryota; Metazoa; Arthropoda; Insecta; Blattodea; Blattidae.
GAGUUUUAUUCUUGCUUAUUUAUUUGCUUUUAAAUUAUUUUAUAUGUAAGUUUUUGCGGGAUUCAAUUAUUUUUAUCUUAAUGAUAAUUUAAUUUUUUUUUGCUUAUUCGCAGUAAUAAAUUUUGUAAAUUUAUGGGAAUUUGAUUUGGUAAUUUUGAUUUAUUAUUGGUAAAAUUUGUGCCAGCAUCCGCGGUUAUACAAUGAAUAUGAGUAAAUCUUUUUAGUUAAAGUAGUUAAAGGUUUUUUUGAAGUUAUUUUGUUAUUUUUGGGUGAAAUCUUAAUAUUUAUUAUAACUUUAUUUUAUUUGAGGCUAUGAAAUCUUUUGUUUUAAACUAGGAUUAGAUACCCUAUUAUUUUAGAUAUAAAUUAUUUUUAACUUGAGUAGUAUUAGUUAGGGUCUUGAAACUUAAAGAAUUUGGCGGUAUUUUAGUCUUUUUAGAGGAAUCUGUCCCUUAAUCGAUAGUCCGCGUUGAACCUUACCAGAAUUAUUAUAUGUAUACCGCCGUUAUAAUGAAAAUCUUUUUAGAGUAAAUUGAAUUUUCUUGAUUUAAUUAUAUAAAUUAUUUCAGGUCAAGGUGCAGUUUAUGUUUUGGUGGAGAUGGAUUACAUUUAUAUUUAUUAUUGGAUUAUUAUUUGAAAUUUUAUUAUGAAAUUGGAUUUAAUUGUAAUUUUUUGUAGAUUGUAAUAGUGAUUUUGGCUCUAAAAUAUGUACACAUCGCCCGUCGCUCUCAUUAUUUAUUAAUUGAGAUAAGUCGUAACAUAGUGGUUGUACCGGAAGGUGUGGCUGGAAUGAUUAUUUUCAAUA